Platichthys flesus (European flounder) is the source of this 1235-nucleotide long non-coding RNA. RefSeq lists it as uncharacterized. The transcript has 2 exons. NCBI's taxonomy places the organism in Eukaryota, Metazoa, Chordata, Actinopteri, Pleuronectiformes, Pleuronectidae. The record is from RefSeq and is a predicted model, not a curated record.
CACAACAUAUGUAUCUACUAUAUACACAUAUACAUACAAAUGUGUGUGUGUUUACUUGGUUUGCACUCAUGUAGAAUGUAUAAAGAAUCAAACAUAUUUGGGGACAAUAACAAUAACCCAUACGAAUCAUAUGAAUCAGAGUGAAACCUCCCGGUUGUGAUUUUGCAUGUCGUGCUUUUCUCCGGAGCAGCAGGGGGCGCUGGCGUCAUCAGGUGAACCCUGGAAGUAGCAGGGGGAGACGGCGGUGUAAACAAGGUUCUGUGGAUCCAACCUGGACCGGAACAGAAGAUGGAGACGUUCAGCAGAAGAACCGUGGACCGGAUCCACUCCUCGGUCCUGCUGGGGGUUGUGGUCCUGUCCUGGUCUUACGUCAUCUACGCCAGCAGGGUAGCAGCUCAUUGGCUGCUGGAGGAGCAGACCGCCGCCCUCCGACAGGACUGAUGGUGCACUGGACCCUCACCAGGUCAACUUGGAAAGACAUGGACAUUCAGGGGAUUUGGGUGAUGAGCAUCAACCCUGAAUGUCUCACACAAGUUGCAGGAGACGGCAAGAGACGAAGACAUAGACGUCAACUGAGAGGGACCAGGAGAUUCCGACCCUGGUGUGGAUGAGCUGUGAACAGAAACACUGAUAUUUCCACAGCAGACGUCACUUCCUGCCUCCUGCAGCUCCACCCAGGCUCCACCCCUCACCUGACGAGUGAGCUGGUCCAUCUCCUGCAGCUUCUGCACAUGAGAAACAGAAACUCCAGAAAAUGUCCAGACACUAUUUUACAGAGUUCGUGUCUGAAAACCACUUAUGUUGAAAAUGUUAUUUUAUAUUACCCACUUUGAAAAUGUAUUUUAUCUUUUAAAAUGUAUUUAAAGAUGACUUAUUGUCAGUUUUUCAACGUCUUCACUGAUUUCUCGGAGAAUGAUUCACUGAUCUUGAUGACAAUAAUCAGAAACGUUUAGAGAACUGAUAUUUCCGCUCUAUUUAUAGCUUUAUUUAAUUGAUUGACUGUUUUUGGAGGAUUGAGCUAGACUGGAAGUUUGUUUCAUUUACAGCUCAUCAGAUUUUUGUGUAGCACUUUGACCUACACCGACCUCACGCUGACACCAUGCACCUUUACAAGCUAAUCAUUCAUGCUAAUCUAACCAUCCUUGUUUUUGUAUCUUCAAUCUUAAAGUCCUCCUCCUGACGAGAGACGGAAAUGUUUCCAGUUCUUCAAAUAAAUAGAAUUUUAUAAAACUGUA